This 253-nucleotide ribosomal RNA is filed under the name uncultured bacterium. RNAcentral's name for it is "partial 16S ribosomal RNA". It matches the Rfam family "Bacterial small subunit ribosomal RNA", at positions 524 to 776 of the family's 1533-position model. The record is from RNAcentral.
UACGUAGGGUGCGAGCGUUAAUCGGAAUUACUGGGCGUAAAGUGUGCGCAGGCGGCCGCGCAAGUCGAGUGUGAAAGCCCCGGGCUUAACUUGGGAAUUGCGCUCGAAACUACGUGGCUGGAGUGUGGCAGAGGAAGGUGGAAUUCCAGGUGUAGCGGUGAAAUGCGUAGAGAUCUGGAGGAACACCGAUGGCGAAGGCAGCCUUCUGGGCCAGCACUGACGCUCAUGCACGAAAGCGUGGGGAGCAAACAGG